This 346-nucleotide long non-coding RNA is filed under the name Manihot esculenta (cassava). Its description in RNAcentral is "long non-coding RNA (MESC_LNC002307)". Lineage: Eukaryota; Viridiplantae; Streptophyta; Magnoliopsida; Malpighiales; Euphorbiaceae. The record is from RNAcentral.
AGAGAGGAGGAUCCUGCCUUUCAGCCUUUUUCUCUCAGGUUUGUUCAUCCUGGGAGAACAGUUCAUUCUAACAGUGUUCAGCUUUUUUGUUCUCAUGGAUUCCUACAGCCCUUUAUUGUCCAGGGUUGGGAGCAUCUUCUUAUCACUCCCUCAGACACUCACCCUAGGAUAGUUAGGGAGUUUUAUGCUAACCUACACACGUUCACACGUCACACUCCCCCCCACCUGGUCAGUUUUGUUAAUGGUCAGCGAGUUUACCUCACUCCUGACAUCAUUGCUCAACACCUGGGCAUCCGUAACUCUGGGGCUGUCGUCUCCACUACUCAUAAGUGGAUCACUGGUGAGG